AUAGGGGAUUGCCAAUCCCACACAAGAGUUGUUUGUGGUCACAGGCCGGUGCCAAAUUCAAGAUCAUAGAACAGAUACAGAUGGACAUCAUAUUAUAUUUUUGUUGUUCUGUCAACAUUAUUGUGCAUCUGCAUUAUACUUGUACCCUAGGCCUAUACUAUAAGUUAUUCUCUGGUUUAUUACAAUGUCAUAUUGAAAAUGUUUUAAUACCUGGAAAAUUUGAAGCCUAAUAAAACUUUAAAUUAUU
Molecule: long non-coding RNA, 247 nt
Organism: Bombina bombina (fire-bellied toad)
Lineage: Eukaryota; Metazoa; Chordata; Amphibia; Anura; Bombinatoridae
Exons: 2
Source: RefSeq, a predicted model, not a curated record